RNAcentral lists this ribosomal RNA (923 nucleotides) under uncultured bacterium. Its description in RNAcentral is "bacterial SSU rRNA". It matches the Rfam family "Bacterial small subunit ribosomal RNA", at positions 72 to 990 of the family's 1533-position model. The record is from RNAcentral.
CACGGACUUCGGUCUGGUGGCGAGUGGCGAACGGGUGAGUAACAUAUCGGAACGUAUCCAAUAAUGGGGGAUAACUAAUCGAAAGGUUGGCUAAUACCGCAUACGCCCUACGGGGGAAAGCAGGGGAUCUUCGGACCUUGCGUUAAUGGAGCGGCUGAUAUCUGAUUAGCUAGUUGGUGAGGUAAAGGCUCACCAAGGCGACGAUCAGUAGCUGGUCUGAGAGGACGACCAGCCACACUGGAACUGAGACACGGUCCAGACUCCUACGGGAGGCAGCAGUGGGGAAUUUUGGACAAUGGGCGCAAGCCUGAUCCAGCCAUUCCGCGUGAGUGAAGAAGGCCUUCGGGUUGUAAAGCUCUUUCGCAAGGGAAGAAAACUUACUUUCUAAUAAAGAGUGAGGUUGACGGUACCUUGAUAAGAAGCACCGGCUAACUACGUGCCAGCAGCCGCGGUAAUACGUAGGGUGCGAGCGUUAAUCGGAAUUACUGGGCGUAAAGCGUGCGCAGGCGGCCUUAAAAGUCAGAUGUGAAAUCCCCGAGCUCAACUUGGGAACUGCGUUUGAAACUCUAAGGCUAGAAUAUGUCAGAGGGGGGUAGAAUUCCACGUGUAGCAGUGAAAUGCGUAGAGAUGUGGAGGAAUACCAAUGGCGAAGGCAGCCCCCUGGGAUAAUAUUGACGCUCAUGCACGAAAGCGUGGGGAGCAAACAGGAUUAGAUACCCUGGUAGUCCACGCCCUAAACGAUGUCUACUAGUUGUUGGUGGAGUAAAAUCCAUGAGUAACGCAGCUAACGCGUGAAGUAGACCGCCUGGGGAGUACGGUCGCAAGAUUAAAACUCAAAUGAAUUGACGGGGGCCCGCACAAGCGGUGGAUUAUGUGGAUUAAUUCGAUGCAACGCGAAAAACCUUACCUGGCCUUGACAUGUA